UCAUCAAUUUCUCAACAAUUUCUCAAUUUGCUAUUUAUUCAAUUCAUAUCAUAAUCAUAAAUAAAUAAUCAAAUUUUAUUUAUAAACACAAAUUUACAGAUAAUUACAUUAAUAUAAAAUUACAUUACAGAAGUUUCAAAUAUUCAUAGUGUCCUACCAAAUGCACUGUAGCUGAGAGGUGACACAGGACACUCGCAGAUCUGAUUCUCACCCGGACUGGGGUCUACUGGGAUCACGCCCUGUAUCUCCAGUAUCUCGCCAUUUUUCAUCUUCAGACAUAAUGGCAUUGAGAUCUCCAAUGCAUAACCAAGGAUCCGGGUGAUGAGCUUUUAAUCUUUUUAUGCCCUCCUCAAUCAUGCAAAUCUAUAACCAAAAUUUCCACCUCGCAUCGACCAGUAAUGCCUCACCUAUAAUAUUUGAAACUCGUGCUCAAUGGCUUGAUGAAACUUCUAUGGCAGCCAAACACCUAGAAAUGCCUGAUUUUGAUGGAACCAAUCCGCAAGGUUGGAUUACUAAGCUAGAGCAAUAUUUUACUUUUUACAACACCUGCGAAAAUGUUAAAUGCUAUUUUGUCUGGGAUCACUUUGAGGGAGCCCCUCUCCUCUGUUAUCAUGAGCUGCAAUGUCGACAUCCUUUGCUCACUUGGCCCCAGUUAACAGAAGAGUUAUUGUAGCAUUUUAAUGGAGUGAAUGUUAGCAAUUCAUGUGACAAUCUCAUCAAGGACUAAGGAUUUCUGUUGCACACUGGCUAUGUUAUUCCACGCUAGGUUUGCACAAGGACCCAAGGGGAACGCCACCAUCACAAAUCACCAUAGAGAAAAAUUACAUGAAUAAUUUCACCAUAGGGAAGAAUCAAAAUUAUUUAGAUGUGGAGCAGGGGACAACCUUAUGUUGCUCUCUAUUUGGGGAAUGGCUAAGGAAGAUGAGGGUAAAUGUUGGGUUGUG
This 944-nucleotide unclassified non-coding RNA is filed under the name Hevea brasiliensis (rubber tree). The record is from RNAcentral. Lineage: Eukaryota; Viridiplantae; Streptophyta; Magnoliopsida; Malpighiales; Euphorbiaceae.